This 401-nucleotide ribosomal RNA is filed under the name uncultured Microcoleus sp. RNAcentral describes it as "bacterial SSU rRNA". It matches the Rfam family "Bacterial small subunit ribosomal RNA", at positions 378 to 795 of the family's 1533-position model. Lineage: Bacteria; Bacillati; Cyanobacteriota; Cyanophyceae; Oscillatoriales; Microcoleaceae. The record is from RNAcentral.
AAAGCCUGACGGAGCAAGACCGCGUGAGGGAGGAAGGCCCUUGGGUUGUAAACCUCUUUUCUCAGGGAAGAAAACUGACGGUACCUGAGGAAUCAGCCUCGGCUAACUCCGUGCCAGCAGCCGCGGUAAUACGGAGGAGGCAAGCGUUAUCCGGAAUUAUUGGGCGUAAAGCGUCCGCAGGUGGCGAAUCAAGUCUGCUGUCAAAGGUCGGGGCUUAACUCCGGAAAGGCAGUGGAAACUGAAUCGCUAGAGUGCGGUAGGGGUAGAGGGAAUUCCCGGGGUAGCGGUGAAAUGCGUAGAGAUCGGGAAGAACAUCGGUGGCGAAAGCGCUCUACUGGGCCGCAACUGACACUCAGGGACGAAAGCUAGGGGAGCGAAUGGGAUUAGAUACCCCAGUAGUC